UNUGACUUGAGUGCAGAAGGGGAGAGUGGAAUUCCAUGUGUAGCGGUGAAAUGCGUAGAUAUAUGGAGGAACACCAGUGGCGAAAGCGGCUCUCUGGUCUGUCACUGACGCUGAGGCUCGAAAGCGUGGGUAGCGAACAGGAUUAGAUACCCUGGUAGUCCACGCCGUAAACGAUGAGUGCUAGGUGUUAGGCCCUUUCCGGGGCUUAGUGCCGGAGCUAACGCAAUAAGCACUCCGCCUGGGGAGUACGACCGCAAGGUUGAAACUCAAAGGAAUUGACGGGGGCCCGCACAAGCGGUGGAGCAUGUGGUUUAAUUCGAAGCAGCGCGAAGAACCUUACCAGGUCUUGACAUCCCGAUGCUAUUCUUAGAGAUAGGAAGUUACUUCGGUACAUCGGAGACAGGUGGUGCAUGGUUGUCGUCAGCUCGUGUCGUGAGAUGUUGGGUUAAGUCCCGCAACGAGCGCAACCCUUAUUGUUAGUUGCCAUCAUUAAGUUGGGCACUCUAGCGAGACUGCCGGUAAUAAACCGGAGGAAGGUGGGGAUGACGUCAAAUCAUCAUGCCCCUUAUGACCUGGGCUACACACGUGCUACAAUGGUCGGUACAACGAGUUGCGAGCCGGUGACGGCAAGCUAAUCUCUGAAAGCCGAUCUCAGUUCGGAUUGGAGGCUGCAACUCGCCUCCAUGAAGUCGGAAUCGCUAGUAAUCGCGGAUCAGCACGCCGCGGUGAAUACGUUCCCGGGCCUUGUACACACCGCCCGUCACACCACGAGAGUUUGUAACACCCGAAGUCGGUGAGGUANCCUUUUAGGG
Molecule: ribosomal RNA, 812 nt
Filed under: uncultured bacterium
Lineage: Bacteria
Description: bacterial SSU rRNA
Rfam family: Bacterial small subunit ribosomal RNA
Source: RNAcentral